Molecule: long non-coding RNA, 2404 nt
Organism: Numida meleagris (helmeted guineafowl)
Lineage: Eukaryota; Metazoa; Chordata; Aves; Galliformes; Numididae
Exons: 3
Source: RefSeq, a predicted model, not a curated record
UUACGGACGGUGACUGUUAUUAAUGGUGCUGGUGCAGCCCAUACCUUCCCUACGCAGUUCUGCCAGAGUGAUUUGUCACAGCCUGAAACCCGUGGCCACGUCCAAGGGUGUCGGCUGAUGAGCUGCAGGAAAUUAGAUGCUGUAUUUUUAUUGUCGAGAGCCGAGCCCUUGCAGAAAACAGGGAGAUGAAGACGGUCAGGACCGUGACACAUUUAUUCCGAUCUGUCGCCAUAGAAACAGAUAAUCCACCAACGGUCCCUUUCCACAGAGCCAGUUUACAAGACGGGGCGUCCUGGGGCUCCACUCCAUCCACUGAAGGCCACUUCCAGGCCCACUCCAGCAGCCUCCCUCCAACCACUCAAUGCUCUGGGGGUGGACUGAGAGCUGCCAUCCAGCUCCUUGCAGAGCUGUGAGCCCAGGAGCAGGACACGUCCACAGCACACACUUAAGACAGCAGAAGUAAAGAGGACCAGGGCUGACAGCUACAUCAGCACUUUUUUUUUUUUUUUGCACAUCCACUCGCUUACGAGAUAAGAUUUUGAUGCCUGGAUUUAACAAGACAAUAAAUUGUCUCCACGACACCCAGCGCUUUAAAAUAUCCCACCACUGCUGCCUUUCUGCUCCUUGAAGCAUCAGGAUGGUAGCUGACAUCUCUUACAGGCUGUGUCAUUUCCUUAACGGAGAUUUCCCGAGGGCUGAGCCAACCAAGUGUGUAUGUACAGCAAGAAAUACUUGUGAAAAUACGUAAAUGAUGUGAUGGCAGUAAGGUUUCACAUUAGGGAGAAACCAUUGGGUUUGCCUGGUCCUGCCCUACUGCAUGCCAUAAAGCCCGUGGAAGGGGAGCAAAGCAUUUCCAAGCAAUAGAUUUGGGAAGAUACAUUGAGGGGUUUCUGCCAUUUCCACGUAAUGAAAUACAGAGGGCUCCAAGAACGCCCAAGGAAGCGACGGUGGAACCUUCCCAGGGAGCUGCUGAGGGAUGCCAAGAGCCAGUUGUGCCCAGUUAUUCACUCAGCAGAGAUGCUGCUCCUCUCGGUGCCGCCUCGCCCCUGCACGCUCGUCCAUCUGCCGUGAGCGCUCUGCCUCAUGCUGUUGGUGUGGAAUAAGUCCAACGAUUCCAUUCUCAAGGCAGUGCCCAGAAAGCUGCUUAUGAAACCCGACCAACACUUUGGACAGAAAUAAAUGUAAGUAAGGAGGUCUCAGUGUGCCAGGACUGCUUGGGCUGGAGGAAAGAAAAACCCCAGACCUUGUUGUCCCUGUGCUAUGGGAUGCGCUUCUCUUGUUAGCCUCCCAUGGAAAGAAAGAGGGGAUCUGAGCAUCCCCAGCCCACAGCGGAGGAGGCACAGAUGUUUGUUUUGGGAAUAAUAACUCAAGUGUGUUUCUGCAGCACUCAGAGUGUGCUUGGGAGGGCUGUAAACAGGCAAACAGAACCGGUGCUGCAUUCAUGCUAAAUAGUGCUUAUAGCCAGGCAGAAAUUAGGCUGAUAAAAAUGAUGGGCUCUCUAUCUGCUUCUCUCGUUCCCCACUCUCCAUCUCUUUCCCAGUCUGAGUGCCCUUCAGGCAGCCCUGCUGGCUGGCUUGCAUUCAGGAGCAAUGUACCACUGCCAUCCAACAACCUUAAGGAUGCUAUGGAUGCAGCUGUGCUCCGGCCAUCCACCAAUCCUGCCCUGGUGGGGCUCCGUUGCUGCUGCAGGCAUAGUCAAGCCCUUAGAUCUGGUUCAAAAAGCAACUGAAUUCUUCUCCUUCUAUGCUCCAACACAUGACAAGGAUGAAUUUACGUCAAGCUUUUAUUAUACCAGGGGCACUUCUCUUUCUUUCUAGCCCUUCUUCCCCAACAAUUUUUUCCCCAAGUAUUUAAAAGCUACCAGCAAUUCCAGUUCCAUUUCUCCCCGUAAGCACCACAAAUUCACCCUCCUACAACCCCAGCUGAGGAAAUAAAUUCAAAUGUAUUCUGCGUCUGGCGGCACGGCCUGAUUGAUACAGCUCUGCGUUGCCGUGUCUUUUUGUUCUGCCACACUCAGUAAUUCAAUUAUGCUAAACAGGGCUUCAAUUCCCCGGGUUGUGGCAUGCCUACCACCAGGAGCAGGGCGGAUUCCCAGUAACUCUGUGCUCGGGAUGCUCGUGUGCAUCUUAGGUGUAUGCAGUAUUCCUUGGUGGUUUGAGCUAUGCUGCUCUGGGGGAUUUGGAACCACCACCAGGAGCCAAAGCUCUGCAUGGAAGCCAGAAAUCACUGUCUCUCACAGGGGCCUGACAGCCACGAUGGAGGAUUCAUUCUUGGGUCUAAGGGCUGAGAUAACUAUAGAAAUACCGACUGUGCACAAACAGGGAGUUCAGAGAACCUGCAACAGCAGCUCCAACUGAACUAGGUUUCAUUUGUGCUGGUUUUAAUAACAGCCAAGAAAUUGUGA